This 253-nucleotide ribosomal RNA is filed under the name uncultured bacterium. Its description in RNAcentral is "partial 16S ribosomal RNA". It matches the Rfam family "Bacterial small subunit ribosomal RNA", at positions 524 to 776 of the family's 1533-position model. The record is from RNAcentral.
UACGAAGGGGGCUAGCGUUGCUCGGAAUUACUGGGCGUAAAGCGCACGUAGGCGGAUUGUUAAGUCGGGGGUGAAAUCCUGGAGCUCAACUCCAGAACUGCCUUCGAUACUGGCGAUCUCGAGUUCGGGAGAGGUGAGUAGAACUGCGAGUGUAGAGGUGAAAUUCGUAGAUAUUCGCAAGAACACCAGUGGCGAAGGCGGCUCACUGGCCCGAUACUGACGCUGAGGUGCGAAAGCGUGGGGAGCAAACAGG